AUGGAGGUUAUCGAAACCAUGAACAAUGAAGGACGGUCAUCUAGUAUAGCGGCGGCAGUGUUUGACGAUUGUUAUUUUUUAGCAUGUGACUUUCCCAUUACUAAAUUUGAGCAUUGUAAUAGUGUAGCAAAUAGGGUCGCACAUGAACUUGCUAAGUUAGCUAGAUUUUCUUCAUUUUUGAACUGGUUUGAGGAGCCCUUGAGUGAAAUUGUAUCCCUCCUCAUAAACAAUGUACUUGUUAUCGCAAAUGAAUAA
Molecule: ribosomal RNA, 255 nt
Filed under: Triticum aestivum (bread wheat)
Lineage: Eukaryota; Viridiplantae; Streptophyta; Magnoliopsida; Poales; Poaceae
Description: partial small subunit ribosomal RNA
Source: RNAcentral